UACGAAGGGGGGCGAGCGUUGUUCGGAUUUACUGGGCGUAAAGGGCGCGCAGGCGGUCUUGAAAGUCAGGCGUGAAAGCCCCGGGCUUAACCUGGGAAUUGCGCUUGAUACUCUGAGACUGGAGUACGGGAGAGGAGAGUGGAAUUCCCAGUGUAGAGGUGAAAUUCGUAGAUAUUGGGAAGAACACCAGUGGCGAAGGCGGCUCUCUGGACCGUAACUGACGCUGAGGCGCGAAAGCGUGGGGAGCAAACAGG
Molecule: ribosomal RNA, 254 nt
Filed under: uncultured bacterium
Lineage: Bacteria
Description: partial 16S ribosomal RNA
Rfam family: Bacterial small subunit ribosomal RNA
Source: RNAcentral